AAUGAACGCUGGCGGCGUGCCUAACACAUUGCAAGUCGCACGAAGAAAGCCUUUCGGGCAAGUAAAGUGGCGCACGGGUGAGUAACGCGUAGGCAACCUACCUCCCAAACAGGGAUAACAGUGCGAAAGCGCUGCUAAUACCGGAUACGACCCAGUUGCGGAAGCGAUUGGGGGAAAGUCGGCCUCUCAAAGAAGCCGGCGCUGGGAGAUGGGCCUGCGUCCUAUCAGCUAGUUGGCGGGGUAACGGCCCACCAAGGCGACGACGGGUAGCUGGUCUGAGAGGAUGAUCAGCCACAUUGGCACUGAAACACGGGCCAAACUCCUACGGGAGGCAGCAGUGAGGAAUUUUGCGCAAUGGCCGCAAGGCUGACGCAGCAACGCCGCGUGAGUGAUGAAGGCCUUCGGGUCGUAAAGCUCUGUCGGGCGGGAAGAACCUCAUGAGAGUAAAUAGCUCUUAUGACUGACGGUACCGCCAAAGGAAGCACCGGCUAACUCCGUGCCAGCAGCCGCGGUAAUACGGAGGGUGCAAGCGUUAUUCGGAAUUACUGGGCGUAAAGGG
RNAcentral lists this ribosomal RNA (559 nucleotides) under uncultured bacterium. RNAcentral describes it as "bacterial SSU rRNA". It matches the Rfam family "Bacterial small subunit ribosomal RNA", at positions 28 to 567 of the family's 1533-position model. The record is from RNAcentral.